This 196-nucleotide unclassified non-coding RNA is filed under the name uncultured fungus. RNAcentral describes it as "sequence contains ITS1". The record is from RNAcentral. Lineage: Eukaryota; Fungi.
UUAACUUAUUUGUUUGUGACUCGGACAUUAUAAAAAUCAAGAGUUUAGGGUCCUCUGGCAGGCGCGGACCAGCCUAGGCCAGUGGUCAUAAGACGGGCCUGCCAAAGCAACAAAGGUAAUAUAAACAAAGGGUGGGAGAUCUACCCCGGAGGGCAAUUUCUCUGUAAUGAUCCUUCCGCAGGUUCACCUACGGAAA